Molecule: unclassified non-coding RNA, 204 nt
Filed under: Hevea brasiliensis (rubber tree)
Lineage: Eukaryota; Viridiplantae; Streptophyta; Magnoliopsida; Malpighiales; Euphorbiaceae
Source: RNAcentral
GGGAGUUCUUGGGAGGGAACAUCAGUGGUUUGACUUUUAUCAUAAUCUUCAAAGCCAUUGUCAGGCAAUGAUGCAUUCUCUCGCACUGUAGAAGGUAGUUUGUUAUCAGAUAAACCAAUAUCCAAGCUCACCGGUACACUUUCUUUUUCUGUGUCGAUAUCCAUGGCAUUAGAAGUUUCAUGUUCAUGUCCCACGGACGAGUUC